GGAAUCUUGGUCAAUGGGCGUAAGCCUGAACCAGCCAAGUAGCGUGAGGGAUGACGGCCCUAAGGGUUGUAAACCUCUUUUGCCGGGGAAUAAACUGCGCCACGCGUGGCGUUUUGUAUGUACCCGGAGAAUAAGGACAGGCUAAUUCCGUGCCAGCAGCCGCGGUAAUACGGAAGGUCCGGGCGUUAUCCGGAUUUAUUGGGUUUAAAGGGAGCGCAGGCCGGCGAUUCAGCGUGACGUGAAAUGCUGCGGCUCAACCGUGGAAGUGCGUCGCGAACUGGUUUCCUUGAGUGAGUGCGACGUUGGCGGAAUUCGUGGUGUAGCGGUGAAAUGCUUAGAUAUCACGAAGAACCCCGAUUGCGAAGGCAGCCAACGAGUCCUUAACUGACGCUAAUGCUCGAAGGUGCGGGUAUCGAACA
This 419-nucleotide ribosomal RNA is filed under the name uncultured bacterium. Its description in RNAcentral is "bacterial SSU rRNA". It matches the Rfam family "Bacterial small subunit ribosomal RNA", at positions 358 to 774 of the family's 1533-position model. The record is from RNAcentral.